GAUGAACGCUGGCGGCGUGCCUAAUACAUGCAAGUCGAGCGAACGGACGAGACGCUUGCUUCUCUGAUGUUAGCGGCGGACGGGUGAGUAACACGAGGAUAACCUACCUAUAAGACUGGGAUCACUUCGGGAAACCGGAGAUAAUACCGGAUAAUCUUUUGAACCGCAUGGUUCAAAAGUGAAAGACGGUCUUGCUGUCACUUAUAGAUGGAUCCGCGCUGCAUUAGCUAGUUGGUAAGGUAACGGCUUACCAAGGCAACGAUGCAUAGCCGACCUGAGAGGGUGAUCGGCCACACUGGAACUGAGACACGGUCCAGACUCCUACGGGAGGCAGCAGUAGGGAAUCUUCCGCAAUGGGCGAAAGCCUGACGGAGCAACGCCGCGUGAGUGAUGAAGGUCUUCGGAUCGUAAAGCUCUGUUAUUAGGGAAGAACAGAUGUGUAAUUAACUGUGCACAUCUUGACGGUACCUAAUCAGAAAGCCACGGCUAACUACGUG
This 497-nucleotide ribosomal RNA is filed under the name uncultured bacterium. RNAcentral describes it as "partial 16S ribosomal RNA". It matches the Rfam family "Bacterial small subunit ribosomal RNA", at positions 28 to 507 of the family's 1533-position model. The record is from RNAcentral.